This 236-nucleotide unclassified non-coding RNA is filed under the name Hevea brasiliensis (rubber tree). The record is from RNAcentral. Lineage: Eukaryota; Viridiplantae; Streptophyta; Magnoliopsida; Malpighiales; Euphorbiaceae.
UUGCAGGCAAACAGCUUGAGGAUGAUCGCACCCUUGCUGACUACAACAUCCAGAAAGAGUCCACUCUCCACUUGGUGCUCCGACUCCGUGGUGGCAUGCAGAUUUUUGUCAAGACACUCACUGGAAAGACCAUCACAUUGGAGGUUGAGAGCUCGGAUACAAUUGACAAUGUCAAGUCUAAGAUACAAGACAAGGAAGGGAUUCCCCCAGACUAGCAGAGGUUGAUUUUUGCUGGA